Molecule: non-coding RNA, 4218 nt
Organism: Myodes glareolus (Bank vole)
Lineage: Eukaryota; Metazoa; Chordata; Mammalia; Rodentia; Cricetidae
Source: RefSeq, a predicted model, not a curated record
GGGAGCAGCUGGGUCCAAACUGCCAGCAACAAGGUGUAGUAAACCUGGAAGGGUGGUAGUCAUCUUCCUGGGGCUGCAGGAGCGUCUGUGGCCUCAAUAAACCUGGUGGAAGCCUACUGCUGAAGCCAGAACUCCAAUCCUCUAAGGGCUCUGAACGGCUGUUUGGGGCAAUGCUGUCUCUUCAGAGGCAACACUGUCAGAAACACAACAGAGUCCAGACCAGCAGCCAGUGGGUAUGGGUACUCACAGGAGGUAAGAAGGGGACUGUGUGCUAAACUAAAUCAGGUGCCAGUUAGCUCUGGAUCUGGGGCCAAGGGGACAUGUAGGCUGGGCUGUAUAACUCUUGUUUCUUCGCUAUGUUAAAGCAGUGUAGCUUCAUCGGAUUCACAGACUCCUGGUCUAUGAAGCUAAGUCUUCAUCACACUACUUAGCAAAAGCUUACUGUACUAAAUGGUCAGGAAACUAAUGGCUCCAUAUUCUUAGUAUUCAUCCGUAGAGGAGCCUGUGUAAAGCUCCUCUUGUCCACUGUCCCAUCACCACCUCCUUUGGUCACCCAGUGGAUAAGACAACAUUGGUUCCUAUGGGGUUCAUCUGAAGCCCCAUCUUUGUGACUUAACACCACUCUUUAGAGGUUUGGCUUCAGAGGCAUACCCCAAACCAGUUCAUCAUCCACAUGGCCCUAAUCAUGACAAUAAAAAGCCAUCAACUCUCAAGCCAGUCACCUGGGCCUAUUGUCUCAUUUAUACUGAAGGUUGGGCUGGUCACUUUUAUAGACAGGGUCCUUAAAGCCCUCAGAGGUCAAAUAACUCAUUACAAGUUCCCCAGUGGUUCAGUGCUGCUUGGUGGAAUGGGCCACCUGACUUGACGCCAGAGCCUGUUUGGGCUAACUGCCUCAGCUAAUGCCUGCCCGUCCCAGAGAUGAGGCAGCCCUUGCUUUGCCUUUCUCGACUCCUUGGGUCUCCAGGGCAACACAUAGGGUUCUCCUUUCCUGCCAGCCCUCACAUCUGUUGUGGGAUAAUCGUUUUGUACACUGUGAAGAUGAGUCUCUGCCUAAGGUCCCUUCUGAUUGACUUAAAAAGGAGCUGAAUAGUCAGUUGCUAGGUAGGAGAGAACAGGUGGAACUUAGAACUUCCCGAAAGAGAGAGGAGAGAGAGGAAAGCCAUACGUUUGCUUUGGUGUGUACCAGAGUCGGUGACAGUGGAAUAGGAAGACAGACUUCAGGCUCCAUAAUCUCAUAGCCUAAUAUGAGAGAGAGAGAGAGAGAGAGAGAGAGAGAGAGAGAGAGAGAGAGAGAAAGAGCAAGAGAGAGAGAGAGAAUCUGAGGUAUGAAUGAGUUAUGCAUGCUUGCAGGAUUAAGCCAGCCAAACAAGGAGGGACUCACACAGACAGAGUGGAGGAGAGGUAAAGAGCCUUGUUCCUAGUGGCAGAAUGUAAAUGAAUAGAAAUGGGAUAAUUUAAGUUCUAAGAGCUAGUUGGGAACAAGCCUAAGCUACAGGCAAGCAUUCAUAAUUAAUAAUAAUUCUCCAUGUCAUUAUUUGGGAACUGGCAGUACAAAGAACGUCUGGUUGCACACAUGGAAUCUAUGAAUCUGGCUGUUCUGGUCACUUUUCUAUCUGCUGGACAUUUGUUUUCUGGAUGUCUCUUCCUCUUUCUCCAAUUCCUUCCCUACUUCCCCAUCCCCUUCCCUUCCUCCCUUUCCUCCUUUCUCCCAUUCCUUUCUUUCUCUCCUUAAAAUAGUGUUACCACACAUCUUAGACUAGACUUGAACACACAAUCUAGCCCAGGACGGCCUUGAAUUUGCAAUCUUUCUGCCUCAUCCCUCAGAUGCUGGGGUUACCAGCAUGUACCACCACCUCAAGUUUGGGCAUCCAUUCUACACCCAGCCAGCUGUCUUUCCGGCUCAUCUUGCCCACCACUGUGCAGCCAGUUCAGGCUCCACACUAUAUGCUUUUGCUAUGCCCUAAAGCAGCCCUCCACGACUCCCGGUGUGCUGAAGCCUAAGACUGGUCAGCCUUGGUGGGGAAUGAGAUCUGCUUCUGCUGCCAAUGUGCAGUUGGGCUUUGCAGCUUUCCUCCUGCCUUCUGCGGAUGCCUGGUGGAAUGUCAGUUCCAGGUGGUCACAGAUUUACACCCCUUGAUCGCUGAGACAUCCCCACUCAGAGACUGAAGCCCGACUUAUUGUAAGUGCUCACUAAAGAGUUGUUAGAUUAAUUAAUGAAAUUAUUUUCCCAGCCAGUGAGAUUAUCCCCUUUCUGUGAUAGUUCAGCAAGGAAACAUUGAAAGAUAUAAACUAUGCUGUCAGGUUGUUUGGAAGAUACUGAUUUUUUUAAAUGAAGAAAAUCUGAAUAAGGAUUCUUAAGGUUUGUUAUAUUUUAUGUGGUUGUUUGUGUGUUUAUUGCUGUGCUGAGGGUAGAACCCAUGAACUCUAGUUUGCUAGGCAACUUCUCUUUCACAGAACAGCAUCCUCAAACCCCAAGCCUGUUAUAUUUUAGGAGUCAACAUCUGUCCAGUAAGGGCUUUUAAUGUUUAUGAAGCGAUGCAUUUAAUUGUUCUAUUCCAAGAUAAUGAUAGUAUGACUUGCCUCCCUUCCCUCUCCCUUCACUUACUCCAAGAUAAUGAUAGCAUGAUUUAUUCUUAGUAUUGGAACGCCAGCUUAACAUAGGGUGACAAAGGACUCCUUGCUGUGACCGGUAGAAGCCUAGCUGAGACAGGAGUAUCAAGUCUUUUGAGACGGAAUCCUAGGACUGAAGCAAUGCUAUCCACUGCAUGCUGUGGGCCCUAUCUACUCGUCUUCCCUCCCUUCCUAUUUGGGUGUUCACCACAUUCCCUACCUACCCUUCCUUUCAGAGGACACUCUCAUCACAAAAUCUCAUGGUCGCAGCUUCCCCACAACAAUGUACUGUGUCAAUACAAUUUGGGUGGACUGGUCUUCCUUGGUUCAUGAGAACAGGGUCCAUCACCCAUCUCUUUGCCAUGCUGCCUCCUACCAUGUAUCACAGAAGGCCCACGGGACCCAAGAUGUACCGUGAGGAAAGAAACAGCUCUGUCAACGCAGGUAGACAUGACAGAUGGCUGGCGUGUUGGCAGGAGGCAUCGAGUGGCUGGGCCAGCUAGUGGAGGGAGAGGGAAGGGUAAUUUUUGAAGGAGAGGAUAGGAGAGUUAGCAGAGAAAGGCAGCAGACUCUGAGAUAGGCAGAGCUGGGGACUAAGAAGGUAUGGGCACAUUGCUAGAGUUCAGAGUUACUCUGCCCUUGGCUUUUCAUGGGGACUUUAGAUAUCUGUAGGCCUUUCCCUUGUAUCCCAGAUGGGGGUUGGAUCCUUUCAGCAGUACUGAACUUGCCGAUGUGACUUUCCAUUUGAAUGACAUGCCAUGACUGGGCAGAAGAUGCCAGUGGGUACUUUUGUUUUCUCCUAUAAUAGUGGCAUAUCUCAAACAGGUCUUCCCAUUCGCAUUGGAUCUGGUGCUCAGGAACCAGGUGGAGCUGCCCCUGGCACAUCCCAACCCUUGCACACCUGUGGCUACAAACCACUUAGAUCCAGGGAGGUCACUGUGACAUGGACGGGUGACAGCUGACCAGUAGUCCACAACUGGAAGUGCUCAGUCCCCGUGAAGUCCUGCAAGAGUGCUUGGAUUGUGAUGGAGGCUCGGUGGUGACCAUCAGGGCAAGUGUACUGGGACUUGGACAUAACUUUCUCAUUGGCCCUGGAUUGUCUUACAGAAAAGGGCUUAUCCCUGGACCUGCGGAGGUAGUCUUUCCCAUGUGCGCCUCCGAUUAGGAGUGGGAAGCACACAUUCCAAUUAAAAUCUGCCCUGUGACCGUGGUUGUAGGCCCUAAUUUUUCCAGAGCUAUUUCUUUAUAAAUGACUAUUAACAUUCCUUCCAGCAUAAAGAAGAUUCUGCAUCUCUAGGCAAACAACUGCUGGAAUCUCGCUCAUAAGUCACAAAGCUGUUGGACAGAGAAAAGAGAUGUUUCCUAGGAAAAGGGAAACCACGCUGUGUCGUGGGGAUGUGAAAGCCCCUUUGCCGACAGCUUCUCCUUUGACUCAGAGGACUUAGAAUAAAAAGCAGGUACCAACUGAAGACAGCAAGGGAGGCGGCUGCAGGAAGUGGAUGGAGCUCAGGCUGAGAAUCCCAGCUGGCUUCCAGCCGGGUGACCUUGCCACUCAUUUCCCUCGGUUUGGACUUCCCCAUAUGUAACAAUAAACGCCCUGCAAACUCC